GAUCCUAAUUUUUGGCCAAAUCCAGAGAUAUUUGACCCGGAUAGAUUUUUGCCUGAGAAGAUCCGAAAUCGUCAUCCGUAUUCGUAUAUACCAUUCAGUGCUGGACCACGUAGUUGUAUCGGUCAACGAUUUGCUAUGAUGCAAAUAAAAGCAAUAACAGUCCCUCUAAUAAACAAUUUCUAUUUGGAACCCGUCGAUUAUUUAAAAAAUCUUCGGCUAGAAGCCGGUAUUACACUUCACCCAAGUCAUCCACUUCGUGUGAGGUUUGUACCAAUUUGUAAAUAGAUGAAAGCAUUUGAAGCGAUUCAAUGAAUUAUAUAAUAUUUUUUAUCAUUAAAUAAUUGUUAUAAUUUU
Molecule: long non-coding RNA, 354 nt
Organism: Wasmannia auropunctata (little fire ant)
Lineage: Eukaryota; Metazoa; Arthropoda; Insecta; Hymenoptera; Formicidae
Exons: 2
Source: RefSeq, a predicted model, not a curated record